RNAcentral lists this ribosomal RNA (422 nucleotides) under uncultured bacterium. RNAcentral describes it as "bacterial SSU rRNA". It matches the Rfam family "Bacterial small subunit ribosomal RNA", at positions 355 to 774 of the family's 1533-position model. The record is from RNAcentral.
UGAGGAAUAUUGGUCAAUGGACGAGAGUCUGAACCAGCCAAGUAGCGUGCAGGAUGACGGCCCUAUGGGUUGUAAACUGCUUUUAUAGGGGGAUAAAGUGUGCCACGUGUGGCAUAUUGCAGGUACCCUAUGAAUAAGGACCGGCUAAUUCCGUGCCAGCAGCCGCGGUAAUACGGAAGGUCCAGGCGUUAUCCGGAUUUAUUGGGUUUAAAGGGAGCGUAGGCCGUUUGGUAAGCGUGUUGUGAAAUGUCGGGGCUCAACCUGGGCAUUGCAGCGCGAACUGCCAGACUUGAGUGCGCAGGAAGUAGGCGGAAUUCGUCGUGUAGCGGUGAAAUGCUUAGAUAUGACGAAGAACUCCGAUUGCGAAGGCAGCCUGCUGUAGCGCAACUGACGCUGAAGCUCGAAAGCGUGGGUAUCGAACA